UCUGCUCAGCGCGCCUUUUUCGACCAUACGAUGGCUCAUGACAGAAAACGACUUCUUGACAGGAGGAGUAAUCGAACCAUUGUCCACCACACCGCAUUUUUGGCUGGAUCUACCGAGUGAGGCACGAACUCGACCUUCGGUAUAAGAAUCUCGUCAUUGGCACCUUCGGACGAGGAACCGUGAGAGGUACCUCUUUUCGAAAUCUUUUUUUUGCUAGACAUCUUGAAAAACUUCAAGAAAACAAGAAGAAAAAGAUGGAGAGGAAGGGGGAAAUUUUUCAAAACAACUUCUUAUGAGAAUAAGUAAGUGAAAAAUUAUGAGAGAAGUUACCUUCUUUCUUAUAGGCAUAAGAAAUUACUAUUUUCCUGCGGACUUUUGGAUAUAAACUUCGC
Molecule: long non-coding RNA, 392 nt
Filed under: Brassica napus (rape)
Lineage: Eukaryota; Viridiplantae; Streptophyta; Magnoliopsida; Brassicales; Brassicaceae
Description: long non-coding RNA (BNAP_LNC023432)
Source: RNAcentral